This 676-nucleotide long non-coding RNA is filed under the name Homo sapiens (human). RNAcentral's name for it is "non-protein coding lnc-CNPY1-1:4". The record is from RNAcentral. Lineage: Eukaryota; Metazoa; Chordata; Mammalia; Primates; Hominidae.
ACUUUUGUGGUCCGCUUUCCUUGCUGAUGGAGAGGAAUAGUGUCACUCCCAUUUGACUCGGUAACCCGGCAGCUUCCUGUCUUAAACGCAGAGCUGGCGCGCAGGACACUCCUCCUGCAGACACUUAUUGUAAGUGUGCGUGUGUGUGCGUGUGCAGGGAGGCGCGUGCAUACGGCCGCAUUCCACCCGGGGACAGCGACCCUCAUGAAACAUGCUUAGCGAUCCGAAAGAGCGGGGGAAUGCAGUAUGCGGCUCCAUUUGCGAAGGGAGAAAUCCAGGAGCCUCGGAGGUUCUAAAGGAAUCCUUUUUGCCAAGGAGAGGAGGGGUGACUGUUCAGCUAAGACUUCAAAACCAAGUCGCCCGCCCCCCUCUAACUUCUCUACUCUGAUUGAGGAGCUCCCAGACCGGUCAUCUCGUUUUCUUUGUUUUAAAAUCCUUUAAACUAAUUUUGCCGGAGAGCAGGGCCCAUUUGAAACGAGAAUUAGGAAUCCAACGGCAAGGGUGGGAGCCCCAGUUGGUUUCUCCCCUCCUCUCUCUUCAUCUUUUCUAGACUUUCCUUCCAGCUGUUGUCAGAAUGUCCAACUGGAAGUUCUGUUUCCUCUUCUCUUCCCCCUCCUCCCUCGGGCUCCUUCCCAUUUGCUCUUGUCUACCCACCAAACACCCGUUGUUACCCCAG